GACGAACGCUGGCGGCGUGCUUAACACAUGCAAGUCGAACGGAAAGGCCCUGCUUUUGUGGGGUGCUCGAGUGGCGAACGGGUGAGUAACACGUGAGUAACCUGCCCUUGACUUUGGGAUAACUUCAGGAAACUGGGGCUAAUACCGGAUAGGAGCUCCUGCUGCAUGGUGGGGGUUGGAAAGUUUCGGCGGUUGGGGAUGGACUCGCGGCUUAUCAGCUUGUUGGUGGGGUAGUGGCUUACCAAGGCUUUGACGGGUAGCCGGCCUGAGAGGGUGACCGGCCACAAUGCGCCUGAGAUACGGCCCAGGCUGCAACGGGAGGCAGCAGUGGAGAAUAUUGCACAAUAGGCGCAAGCCUGUUGCGACAAAGCCGCGUGCGGGAUGAGGGCCUUCGGGUUGUAAACCGCUUUCGCCUGUGACGAAGCGUGAGUGACGGUACUGGGUAAAGAAGCACCGGCUAACUACGUG
Molecule: ribosomal RNA, 468 nt
Filed under: uncultured bacterium
Lineage: Bacteria
Description: partial 16S ribosomal RNA
Rfam family: Bacterial small subunit ribosomal RNA
Source: RNAcentral